GGGUUGUGAGGUUAAGCGACUAAGCGUACACGGUGGAUGCCCUGGCAGUCAGAGGCGAUGAAGGACGUGCUAAUCUGCGAAAAGCGUCGGUAAGGUGAUAUGAACCGUUACAGCCGGCGAUGUCCGAAUGGGGAAACCCAGUGCAAUUCGUUGCACUAUCGUUAACUGAAUACAUAGGUUAACGAGGCGAACCGGGGGAACUGAAACAUCUAAGUACCCCGAGGAAAAGAAAUCAACCGAGAUUCCCCCAGUAGCGGCGAGCGAACGGGGAGCAGCCCAGAGUCUGAAUCAGCUUGUGUGUUAGUGGAACGGUCUGGAAAGUCCGACGGUACAGGGUGAUAGUCCCGUACACCAAAAUGCACAGGCUGUGAACUCGAAGAGUAGGGCGGGACACGUGGUAUCCUGUCUGAAUAUGGGGGGACCAUCCUCCAAGGCUAAAUACUCCUGACUGACCGAUAGUGAACCAGUACCGUGAGGGAAAGGCGAAAAGAACCCCGGCGAGGGGAGUGAAAAAGAACCUGAAACCGUGUACGUACAAGCAGUGGGAGCACCUUCGGGUGUGACUGCGUACCUUUUGUAUAAUGGGUCAGCGACUUAUAUUCUGUAGCAAGGUUAACCGUAUAGGGGAGCCGCAGGGAAACCGAGUCUUAACUGGGCGUUAAGUUGCAGGGUAUAGACCCGAAACCCGGUGAUCUAGCCAUGGGCAGGUUGAAGGUUGGGUAACACUAACUGGAGGACCGAACCGACUAAUGUUGAAAAAUUAGCGGAUGACUUGUGGCUGGGGGUGAAAGGCCAAUCAAACCGGGAGAUAGCUGGUUCUCCCCGAAAGCUAUUUAGGUAGCGCCUCGUGAACUCAUCUUCGGGGGUAGAGCACUGUUUCGGCUAGGGGGUCAUCCCGACUUACCAACCCGAUGCAAACUACGAAUACCGAAGAAUGUUAUCACGGGAGACACACGGCGGGUGCUAACGUCCGUCGUGAAGAGGGAAACAACCCAGACCGCCAGCUAAGGUCCCAAAGUCAUGGUUAAGUGGGAAACGAUGUGGGAAGGCACAGACAGCCAGGAUGUUGGCUUAGAAGCAGCCAUCAUUUAAAGAAAGCGUAAUAGCUCACUGGUCGAGUCGGCCUGCGCGGAAGAUGUAACGGGGCUAAACCAUGCACCGAAGCUGCGGCAGCGACACUAUGUGUUGUUGGGUAGGGGAGCGUUCUGUAAGCCUGCGAAGGUGGCCUGUGAGGGUUGCUGGAGGUAUCAGAAGUGCGAAUGCUGACAUAAGUAACGAUAAAGCGGGUGAAAAGCCCGCUCGCCGGAAGACCAAGGGUUCCUGUCCAACGUUAAUCGGGGCAGGGUGAGUCGACCCCUAAGGCGAGGCCGAAAGGCGUAGUCGAUGGGAAACAGGUUAAUAUUCCUGUACUUGGUGUUACUGCGAAGGGGGGACGGAGAAGGCUAUGUUAGCCGGGCGACGGUUGUCCCGGUUUAAGCAUGUAGGCUGGUUGUCCAGGCAAAUCCGGAUAAUCAAGGCUGAGGUGUGAUGACGAGGCACUACGGUGCUGAAGUAACAAAUGCCCUGCUUCCAGGAAAAGCCUCUAAGCAUCAGGUAACAUCAAAUCGUACCCCAAACCGACACAGGUGGUCAGGUAGAGAAUACCAAGGCGCUUGAGAGAACUCGGGUGAAGGAACUAGGCAAAAUGGUGCCGUAACUUCGGGAGAAGGCACGCUGGUGUGUAGGUGAAGUCCCUGCGGAUGGAGCUGAGACCAGUCGAAGAUACCAGCUGGCUGCAACUGUUUAUUAAAAACACAGCACUGUGCAAACACGAAAGUGGACGUAUACGGUGUGACGCCUGCCCGGUGCCGGAAGGUUAAUUGAUGGGGUUAUCCGUAAGGAGAAGCUCUUGAUCGAAGCCCCGGUAAACGGCGGCCGUAACUAUAACGGUCCUAAGGUAGCGAAAUUCCUUGUCGGGUAAGUUCCGACCUGCACGAAUGGCGUAAUGAUGGCCAGGCUGUCUCCACCCGAGACUCAGUGAAAUUGAACUCGCUGUGAAGAUGCAGUGUACCCGCGGCAAGACGGAAAGACCCCGUGAACCUUUACUAUAGCUUGACACUGAACAUUGAGCCUUGAUGUGUAGGAUAGGUGGGAGGCUUUGAAGCGUGGACGCCAGUCUGCGUGGAGCCAACCUUGAAAUACCACCCUUUAAUGUUUGAUGUUCUAACGUUGGCCCCUUACCGGGGUUGCGGACAGUGUCUGGUGGGUAGUUUGACUGGGGCGGUCUCCUCCCAAAGCGUAACGGAGGAGCACGAAGGUUAGCUAAUCCUGGUCGGACAUCAGGAGGUUAGUGCAAUGGCAUAAGCUAGCUUGACUGCGAGCGUGACGGCGCGAGCAGGUGCGAAAGCAGGUCAUAGUGAUCCGGUGGUUCUGAAUGGAAGGGCCAUCGCUCAACGGAUAAAAGGUACUCCGGGGAUAACAGGCUGAUACCGCCCAAGAGUUCAUAUCGACGGCGGUGUUUGGCACCUCGAUGUCGGCUCAUCACAUCCUGGGGCUGAAGUAGGUCCCAAGGGUAUGGCUGUUCGCCAUUUAAAGUGGUACGCGAGCUGGGUUUAGAACGUCGUGAGACAGUUCGGUCCCUAUCUGCCGUGGGCGCUGGAGAAUUGAGGGGGGCUGCUCCUAGUACGAGAGGACCGGAGUGGACGCAUCACUGGUGUUCGGGUUGUCAUGCCAAUGGCACUGCCCGGUAGCUAAAUGCGGAAGAGAUAAGUGCUGAAAGCAUCUAAGCACGAAACUUGCCCCGAGAUGAGUUCUCCCUGAGACUUUAAGUCUCCUGAAGGAACGUUGAAGACGACGACGUUGAUAGGCCGGGUGUGUAAGCGCAGCGAUGCGUUGAGCUAACCGGUACUAAUGAACCGUGAGGCUUAACCUUACAACGCCGAAG
Molecule: ribosomal RNA, 2923 nt
Filed under: Klebsiella pneumoniae
Lineage: Bacteria; Pseudomonadati; Pseudomonadota; Gammaproteobacteria; Enterobacterales; Enterobacteriaceae
Description: bacterial LSU rRNA
Rfam family: Bacterial large subunit ribosomal RNA
Source: RNAcentral